Molecule: transfer RNA, 67 nt
Filed under: Phalanger orientalis (gray cuscus)
Lineage: Eukaryota; Metazoa; Chordata; Mammalia; Diprotodontia; Phalangeridae
Description: tRNA-Cys
Source: RNAcentral
GGCUUUGAAGUAUAUAUUACGUUGAAUUGCAAAUUCAAAGAAGUGGUUGUAGAGACCGCCGGGGCUU